Pteronotus mesoamericanus is the source of this 127-nucleotide small nucleolar RNA. RefSeq annotates it as small nucleolar RNA SNORA26. NCBI's taxonomy places the organism in Eukaryota, Metazoa, Chordata, Mammalia, Chiroptera, Mormoopidae. The transcript has a single exon. The record is from RefSeq and is a predicted model, not a curated record.
GUGUCUUUUUAAGAUUUGAUGCAGUCAGUGUCUUAGAUGGCUAACACAGAAAGGUAAAGUAAGUCUCCACAGCACCCAGAGAAAAGAUGGUAAAACUCCUCUUUGAAUCUUGUCUGGAGUCACAGCU